RNAcentral lists this ribosomal RNA (254 nucleotides) under uncultured prokaryote. RNAcentral describes it as "partial 16S ribosomal RNA". It matches the Rfam family "Bacterial small subunit ribosomal RNA", at positions 524 to 776 of the family's 1533-position model. The record is from RNAcentral.
UACGGGGGGAGCAAGCGUUGUUCGGAUUUACUGGGCGUAAAGGGCGCGUAGGCGGUCAGCACAAGUCAGUUGUGAAAUCUCUGGGCUUAACCCAGAACGGCCAAGUGAAACUGUUGUGCUAGAGUGCGGAAGGGGCAAUCGGAAUUCUCGGUGUAGCGGUGAAAUGCGUAGAUAUCGAGAGGAACACCAGAGGUGAAGACGGGUUGCUGGGCCGACACUGACGCUGAGGCGCGAAAGCCAGGGGAGCAAACGGG